UUCCCAAGCAGUGCAGAAAAAUUCCUUUCUAGUUGGAUCAAGCCUUGUUUUUCUCGCCCGCUGUCCAGCGUCUGAGACGCGUGGGGUGGGAUUGGAUUUUGUUUUGUUUUGGUUUUUGCCCUAGUCCAGAAGCAGGGUGGCAGCGAAGAGGUGAGGGAGGCUCGGGCCAAAGCGUUCAGCUCAGGUUUUCCUCCACCUUUCCCUUCUUCCCUCUCCAGCACCCCCAGUCCACGAGGAGACACGGCUUGGGGGGUUGGGGAGAAGGGGUCGUCCCUUUCAGUCCCUCCUGCAAGCGCUCCCUCCCUUCUCCAGUCCCCUCCUCCGUCCCCUCCUCCUUCCCUCCCUCAACCCUCCCUCCCUUCCCCCGGCCGGCCGUCCCUCCUCCCUCCCAUCCUCCCCCUUCCGUUUCUGUUGGUGGAGGGAGGCGGAAGGAGGAGGGCUGGGAUCUCGGGCCAGGGACGGGAAUUUCAGCCGCCGCUGGGAGGACAGCGAGCGGGGGACCGCCCCAGCUGGGACGCCGGGCGCUAGGUUGGGCCUCGCCCGCCCCAUUCGGACCUAGCUGAGCCCUCGGGCGCGGCGGCGCUUUUUCCGGCUCCCUUUGAAGGGACGCGAAUCUCGGACUCGGCGGCGGCGGCGCGGAGGAGGAGGAGGAAGAGGAGGAGGAGCCGGGAGCGCGGGGUGGCGGCCGGCUAGAAGCUCCGAAUCCCGGCAGCCAGAGAGAAGAAGGGAAGUGUGCGGCUCGCGGGGAGGGAGCUGCGGGGCGCGCCCCAAUGUCAGCGGACGAGCGGAGCGGGGGAGGCGCAGGCGGCGGCCGCGGCUUCGUGGAUGGAAUUUGGACUUGGGCAGGCCCAUCCCUGGCUCGUGCCCUGGCUCCGGCCAGCGCCGCCCGCUAACACUCCCCACACUCAGCGAGGAGGAGGAGGAGGAGGAGGCGACGACGGCGGCGGCGUCGCGAGCACCCCCUGCCUUGAGAAGCCGGGCGCCCUUCCCCAGUGCGGAACCCCUGAGAGGCUCUGCUGCUGAGCUCGUCCAGGGCGCAUCGCGACCGGGCUCGCUCUAGCGACUACCUUGAUUUUAAACGGGACUGGUCCCCGGCUGCGGGUUGGAAGCUCAGGCCGGAGCCCCGGCCAGCGGCCCAGGCCCGGCCCGGGGCGUUACGG
This 1160-nucleotide long non-coding RNA is filed under the name Monodelphis domestica (gray short-tailed opossum). RNAcentral's name for it is "lncRNA (ENSMODG00000039337.1)". Lineage: Eukaryota; Metazoa; Chordata; Mammalia; Didelphimorphia; Didelphidae. The record is from RNAcentral.